UACGAAGGGGGCUAGCGUUGUUCGGAUUUACUGGGCGUAAAGCGCACGUAGGCGGAUCGUUAAGUCGGGGGUGAAAUCCUGGAGCUCAACUCCAGAACUGCCUUCGAUACUGGCGAUCUAGAGUCCGGAAGAGGUGAGUGGAACUCCUAGUGUAGAGGUGGAAUUCGUAGAUAUUAGGAAGAACACCGGUGGCGAAGGCGACUUCCUGGCCUGUUCUUGACGCUGAGGCGCGAAAGCUGGGGGAGCAAACGGG
This 253-nucleotide ribosomal RNA is filed under the name uncultured bacterium. RNAcentral's name for it is "partial 16S ribosomal RNA". It matches the Rfam family "Bacterial small subunit ribosomal RNA", at positions 524 to 776 of the family's 1533-position model. The record is from RNAcentral.